UGAGCGUAUGCCAGUGGAGGAGUCU
RNAcentral lists this non-coding RNA (25 nucleotides) under Rattus norvegicus (Norway rat). The record is from RNAcentral. Lineage: Eukaryota; Metazoa; Chordata; Mammalia; Rodentia; Muridae.